Molecule: ribosomal RNA, 697 nt
Filed under: uncultured bacterium
Lineage: Bacteria
Description: bacterial SSU rRNA
Rfam family: Bacterial small subunit ribosomal RNA
Source: RNAcentral
AGAGUUUGAUCCUGGCUCAGAUUGAACGCUGGCGGCAGGCCUAACACAUGCAAGUCGAACGGUAACAGGAAGAAGCUUGCUUCUUUGCUGACGAGUGGCGGACGGGUGAGUAAUGUCUGGGAAACUGCCUGAUGGAGGGGGAUAACUACUGGAAACGGUAGCUAAUACCGCAUAACGUCGCAAGACCAAAAAGGGGGACCUUCGGGCCUCUUGCCAUCGGAUGUGCCCAGAUGGGAUUAGCUAGUAGGUGGGGUAACGGCUCACCUAGGCGACGAUCCCUAGCUGGUCUGAGAGGAUGACCAGCCACACUGGAACUGAGACACGGUCCAGACUCCUACGGGAGGCAGCAGUGGGGAAUAUUGCACAAUGGGCGCAAGCCUGAUGCAGCCAUGCCGCGUGUAUGAAGAAGGCCUUCGGGUUGUAAAGUACUUUCAGCGGGGAGGAAGGGAGUAAAGUUAAUACCUUUGCUCAUUGACGUUACCCGCAGAAGAAGCACCAGCUAACUCCGUGCCAGCAGCCGCGGUAAUACGGAGGGUGCAAGCGUUAAUCGGAAUUACUGGGCGUAAAGCGCACGCAGGCGGUUUGUUAAGUCAGAUGUGAAAUCCCCGGGCUCAACCUGGGAACUGCAUCUGAUACUGGCAAGCUUGAGUCUCGUAGAGGGGGGUAGAAUUCCAGGUGUAGCGGUGAAAUGCGUAGA